Molecule: ribosomal RNA, 729 nt
Filed under: uncultured beta proteobacterium
Lineage: Bacteria; Pseudomonadati; Pseudomonadota; Betaproteobacteria
Description: bacterial SSU rRNA
Rfam family: Bacterial small subunit ribosomal RNA
Source: RNAcentral
UGCAGUCGACGGCAGCACGGGAGCAAUCCUGGUGGCGAGUGGCGAACGGGUGAGUAAUACAUCGGAACGUGCCCAAUCGUGGGGGAUAACGCAGCGAAAGCUGUGCUAAUACCGCAUACGAUCUACGGAUGAAAGCAGGGGACCGCAAGGCCUUGCGCGAGUGGAGCGGCCGAUGGCAGAUUAGGUAGUUGGUGAGGUAAAGGCUCACCAAGCCUUCGAUCUGUAGCUGGUCUGAGAGGACGACCAGCCACACUGGGACUGAGACACGGCCCAGACUCCUACGGGAGGCAGCAGUGGGGAAUUUUGGACAAUGGGCGCAAGCCUGAUCCAGCCAUGCCGCGUGCAGGAUGAAGGCCUUCGUGUUGUAAACUGCUUUUGUACGGAACGAAAAGGUUCUUUCUAAUAAAGAGAGCUCAUGACGGUACCGUAAGAAUAAGCACCGGCUAACUACGUGCCAGCAGCCGCGGUAAUACGUAGGGUGCAAGCGUUAAUCGGAAUUACUGGGCGUAAAGCGUGCGCAGGCGGUUAUGUAAGACAGUUGUGAAAUCCCCGGGCUCAACCUGGGAACUGCAUCUGUGACUGCAUAGCUAGAGUACGGUAGAGGGGGAUGGAAUUCCGCGUGUAGCAGUGAAAUGCGUAGAUAUGCGGAGGAACACCGAUGGCGAAGGCAAUCCCCUGGACCUGUACUGACGCUCAUGCACGAAAGCGUGGGGAGCAAACAGGAUUAGA